AUGGCAUCUCGGGUGUCCCUCUCGGCGUCCUCCUCCGGCUCCUUGCCCCUCUCCCCUCCGCCGCCGCCGCCUCCUAGGCCGGUCUUGCUCAUUGGUCGUUGUGCCCGACGUGGUGGGCACGACGCGUGGUCCAAUCAUGUGGACCGAGGCUGCAACCCCCUCCCCCCUUCCUCUGGCGGUGGGCGAGGCGCCCUGGCAGACGCAGGCCGGCGUCGGGCGGUAGCCCCACAGGCGCGCUCCCUGACCAGGCCGGUGCGCCGCUCCCCUCCGGGCAGGUGGCCCAACAUCCUGCCGUCGUCGCGGCCGUCGAGGGGCCGGAUCCUGGCGAAGCUUGUUGGCUGCUGCUACAAUUGCGGGAGCGACAAGCACAUCUCGGCCAUGUGCACUAACCCGCCGGUCUGCGUGCGCUGUGACGGGGAGGGCCACAUCUCGCGGGAUUGCACGCGUCCGCGCCCCCGCCCCCGCAGUUCGUCUCCGGUGGAUCCUCCGCGACUUCCGCCGGCUCUCCGUCAUGGCCACGCCCCGCCGUCGUCUGGGGCGGCACGCACUCUGUCCCCGCCGCUUCCGCCUCCCCCUCCCGGGCCGCCGCCGGCGGGCGCAGUUCGGAUCGGUGUUCCGUGGAGUCGGGUGGUCAGCGCUGGGUCGGUGGGCAGCAUGGUGGUGCCCGGGCCGGCUUUCUCGGUUCCGUUCGAGCCGGUGGUUGCGGGUGAGGCGUCGCCCCCCAUGGUGGAUGAUCAGGUGGAUGUGUGCUUCCUGGAGUCGGGCCCCGACCUCCGGGCGCUCGAGAAGGAGCUCUCUCGGGCCGUGGUGGUGACCGUAGUUGGUGAUCGAGACGCGGCGGAUCUGGCUGCGGUGGCUGGAGUUCUUGUGCAGGAGUUUGAGCUAGCCUGGCUGGACAUGUCCAUUCGAGCAUAUUUCCCUGAGGAUUUUCCUUGUGUUGUGCCGUUCGUCGGAGAUCAGGAGCAGGUUGCUCAGGCGUGGGCGGGCUGGCACGCACCAGUUUGA
Molecule: ribosomal RNA, 1005 nt
Filed under: Triticum aestivum (bread wheat)
Lineage: Eukaryota; Viridiplantae; Streptophyta; Magnoliopsida; Poales; Poaceae
Description: partial small subunit ribosomal RNA
Source: RNAcentral